AUGUCAUGUUUCCGGUUGCCAAGGGGUGUGUGUGAGGAUAUCACCUCUCUCAUACGCCAGUUUUGGUGGGGCAGUAAAAGAGGACAGAGGAAACCAACAUGGGUUGCACGGGAUGUGAUGACUAGACCCAAGUACAUGGGGGGUAUGGGAUUCAGGGAUUUGGAGCUGUUCAACUUGGCGUUAUUAGCAAGGCGGGCAUGGAGAGUUUUGGUUGACGAUGAUUCUUUGAGUGCUCAAAUACUCAGAGCAGCUUAUUAUCCUGAUUGCUCUCUGCUUGAUGCAACUCUUAGUCUGCAUCCAUCUCAGAUUUGGAGGGCCGUAAUUGACGGUAGAGAUGUGAUUGCUCAAGGAAUUGUACGUCGAAUUGGAGACGGAAAGACUACCAACAUUUGGCGUCAUAACUGGAUACCG
This 411-nucleotide ribosomal RNA is filed under the name Triticum aestivum (bread wheat). RNAcentral describes it as "partial small subunit ribosomal RNA". The record is from RNAcentral. Lineage: Eukaryota; Viridiplantae; Streptophyta; Magnoliopsida; Poales; Poaceae.